CAUCAUACGAUGCUUGUGCGAAGGUACUGCGCCACACAUGCACGCGCACGAGCACCACUAUGGCGCCGCGCCACUACCGGCGCCAGAGCAGGAGCAGCCUCUGGGCCACUACUUCUCCGUGACUUACGCGGAGCUCUUAAAGGCGCACGUGCUUGACGUGCAUCUUCCGAACAUCCUCAUCGGAAUCAGCGCCAGCAUCGAGGUACCGCUUGUCACCAUUCUCGGCCGGCGCAUCGGCGCCAACUACUCCUCUAUCGCAGACUACAUCUCCGUCAUGGCCCUGUGCCGCACGCUGCUGGACAUCCCGUUCGGCAUCACCGUUGAGUACGUUGGAGUGCGCAACGUUAUGUUCCUCUGUCUGUUCCUAAAUAUCGUUGCCUCCCUCAUCGGCCUCAACGUGAGCAACGGCGCCUCGCUCUUCGCCUUCUGCAUGCUGAGCGGCAUCAGCCUCGGCGGCUUCUUCCUGGCGCGUCACAUCUUCGUUGCCGGCAUCACCUCCAAGAAGUAUCGUGGCCUGCUCAUGGCAAUUCUGUCAGGGCUGCUACGAUGGGCACACGUCAUCGGCCCCGUCGCUUCAGGCAUCUUCGCCUCGUACUCGGGCGAUGUCCGCUACUCCUUCGUUCUGUCGGCUAUCGCGAACAGCAUCGCCUUCGGCACUCUAGCCAUCGCCACGCAGUCGACUCGGUGCCAGCAAGUGUGCGAGCGCACGUGCAGGGCAAGCCUCGCGUCGUCUGUGGCAAGGACUCCGUUGCACUCAGAGCAAGAGGAGGACGCAUCGGAUAUCGUCUGGCACCACCCGGGCGUGACUGGCAGGGACGGCGCAUACGUAGCGACGGCACUGCUACCGCCGGCGACGGCAUCUUUCCCGACAAAGAGCGGCGUUUCGAGUAGCUUGCCGGACUCGGCGAACCACCGUGUCAUCGUCGGCGCGGAGAGGAAUGGCAGCACUUCGCCCCCGCAUGCUCACCACCUCCACCACACGCACGCGAACGGCGGUGUGGCAACGCGGCCCCGCAGCUGCAGUGCGGCGAGCACGGCGUCGGCGUCACUGCACCCGGACACGGGGGCCUGCCAGGAGCACAACUUCCACCUCACAACGCUCUGGAGCACCUUCGUCGACUACUGGAGCGUGAUCUGGCGCCUUGGCCUGUACAUCGUGCUCGCCACCGUGCUGCGUGCGAACCGCAAGCUCCUCAUUUCCUUUGCAGGAAUGCGCGCGGCGAUGACGGAUGCGCAGGUCUCCUACCUGAUGGGCUUCAGCUUCAUCUUUGACGCCCUCCUGUUCCCUCUCGGCGGCUUGAUGAUGGACCUACUCGGGCGCCAGUUUGCCAUGGUGCCCACCGCUGUCGGGCUCGGCAUUGUCUUCAUGUUCCUGCCCCUGUGUACGACGGAGCUGAAGCUCUACGUGGCCGCGUCGGCCUUCGGCAUCGUGGACGCACUGGGGUGCGGCAUCAUCAUGACGCUCACGGCGGAUCGGGCCCCGCCGCGCUGCGGGGCGCCGUUCUUUGGCAUCAUGCGGACGGUGCAGGACAUGGGCCACGUUGUUGGCGCUCGCGGUGUGUCAAGCCUCAUGCGCUACGCCGGCUUCGAUGUGUGCUGCUGGAUGCUGACGGUGGCCGGCUUCUUCACGGCGGUGUGGGGCAUGUACGGGGUCCCAAGCGAUACAGAGGCGCUUCCCGAGGCACCACGGCUGGAGCAGGCGGCGGUCGUCGCACAUGAGCGGCGGCUGCACAUGCUCUCUUCCUACUCCCAAAGCAGCGAGGAGACGGCGCCGCUGGCGGUUGUGUCGGCGACGGCGACGCCAUCCACGACAACGUACGGCACCGCGACACGGCCGCAGCCUGCGCCGUGCGUGAGACGGCAAGAAGGUGGGGAGGGAUACCGCAGCGUUGCGCGGAGCUGACGGUGUCUGUGUCGGCGUGUGUGGGGCCAUACACAACAUGGUGCAAAUGGUUCGCCGCAUGCCCAACCUGCUCGACCCUCCCCCAUUCCAUCCAUCACCCCCUCCCCCAUCUUUGCACGGGGGGGGGGGGAUGAUCGUGCCCCGACGACAUCCUUUUUCAUGGCGGGUAUGGGACUGGAGAGAGAGACCAGAGAGCGCGAGGAAAGAAAGCGGGGACACUGUCGCCACUGCGGAUGCCGCGCCGGCUCGCACGCUCUUCCGCAGCCGCCGUGUCCCUUCCCAUUGCCCUCUCUUUCGCGCGCGCGCGUUCAGCAGCGGUGCUCGUGCACGCCCACAUAUCUCCCGCUCUCCCUGCCAUCCGAUCCGCCCUCCCUCUUACAUCCCCGCAUACGCUUUUCCUUCGUUUUGGUCGUUAGCGAGCGAUGUCCUUUCUCGUCCUCCGCCUCUCUAAGCCGCCCCGAGUGACACGCACGCGCCAGUGUGUCUUAUCAUGUGUUGUUGUUCGUUUCUCUGCAGGGGGGGGGGGCUGGUUGGUUGGUGGUGGUGGUGCUCUCUGUGCGCUCUGCCAUCCGUGUGCAGGCGCUUCGCUUCAUCCUCAUUCAUUGGCUUCCUUGUGACUGUUCGCGUGUAACCUCCUCCCCUCUCCCCUUCGCCUCUGUUCUCCAACUAAAG
RNAcentral lists this unclassified non-coding RNA (2575 nucleotides) under Leishmania donovani. RNAcentral's name for it is "gene:LdHU3.09.0380(CDS-product:integral_membrane_ transport_protein_putative)". The record is from RNAcentral. Lineage: Eukaryota; Euglenozoa; Kinetoplastea; Trypanosomatida; Trypanosomatidae.